AGAGUUUGAUCCUGGCUCAGAAUGAACGUUGGCGGCGUGGAUUAGGCAUGCAAGUCGAGCGAGAAGUUUUAGAAAGAUACUUCGGUUGAUUUUUAAAAUGGACAGCGGCGAAAGGGAGAGUAACGAGUAGAUUACGUACCCGAGGGUCCGGGAUAGCUGCGGGAAACUGCAGGUAAUACCGGAUAAUGUUUCCGAACCAAAAAUUUAUUGCCCUCGGAGCGGUCUGCUUACUAUUAGCUAGUUGGUGGGGUAAGAGCCUACCAAGGCAAAGAUGGUUAGCGGGUGUGAGAGCAUGGCCCGUCUCACUGGGACUGAGACACUGCCCAGACGUCUACGGACGGCUGCAGUCGAGAAUCUUCCGCAAUGGGCGAAAGCCUGACGGAGCGACGCCGCGUGCGGGAUGAAGGCCUUCGGGUUGUAAACCGCUGUCAGAGGGGAGCAAAUUUUGAGCAAUCCUCAGAGGAAGCACAGGCUAAGUUCGUGCCAGCAGCCGCGGUAAUACGAACUGUGCGAACGUUAUUCGGAAUCACUGGGCUUAAAGGGUGCGUAGGCGGCUUUGUAGGUCAGAUGUGAAAGCCCACGGCUCAACCGUGGAAUUGCGUUUGAAACCACAAAGCUUGAGGGAGAUAGAGGAGAGCGGAACUGAUGGUGGAGCGGUGAAAUGCGUUGAUAUCAUCAGGAACACCGGUGGCGAAAGCGGCUCUCUGGAUCUCUUCUGACGCUCAGGCACGAAAGCUAGGGGAGCGAACGGGAUUAGAUACCCCGGUAGUCCUAGCUGUAAACGAUGAGUACUAGUCCGUGGGGGCUUCCACACCUUCUCGGACGUAGCGAAAGUGUUAAGUUCUCCCCCUGGGGAGUAUGGUCGCAAGGCAA
Molecule: ribosomal RNA, 873 nt
Filed under: uncultured Planctomycetota bacterium
Lineage: Bacteria; Pseudomonadati; Planctomycetota
Description: bacterial SSU rRNA
Rfam family: Bacterial small subunit ribosomal RNA
Source: RNAcentral